GGGUGCGGAUUGCCAGCGAAGGGGAGGAGAUGGGAUUUGAAUCCAGCCGUAGAAGGCGUUUCCCCAACGGAAAGGCGCACAGAUGUGCAUCCAGAGGGCGCCUGGGUGGCUCAGUCAUUAAACAUCCGACUUCUGCUCAGGUCACGGUACCAUGGUUCAUGAGCCCAAGUCCCACAUCCGAUGAGCUCGAGCCCCACUUCGGGUGAACACGAGGCCCACAUCACAUUGGGAGGAGCAUUAACUCAUGAGUUACGAGGAAGUGGUCCUCACCGCCUUCUUCCUGACCCAAGAGAGCGACGGGGCCCGACCAGAGGAAGCAACGCGCGCUGUGGGAAAGGACAUCAAGAUGGAUUUGAAAAGUAGCUUAUUAGCAGGAGGGAGGGCCCUCCCUUCGCCUCACCAGUUGGUCUGGCUAAGGGGUUCUCUCCAGCAGCACUCGGCAGCUUGGGGGCAGGACCCUCCCACAGCCGGCCACGCCAUCUUAGCCCUCCUCACGCGUGCACCGGUGACCUCCAUGCCGCCAAGCACCACGAGCGCCUUUCCUAUCUUCCAUCACCGCUAUGUGGCACGGACCACUGGCAGCUGCUCUCUCUGCCCUUCUCCCUGCCUGUAUUUGGGUGCUUUCUCCCAGCUGAGGACCAUUCUCUUUCGGCCACCUUCGAUGGCUCCUCCUCUUUACCUGCUUCUUGGGAAACUGGUUUCUCAAAGCUGAGGAAAACCUAAAGCAGUGAGUUCAGUAAUGGCAGACCGCCGCCGCCUUAGGAGAAGCUGGUGGGAUGAAAAUUAAGCAGCGGCUCCAGGAUGCCGUCCAGACAUUUUGGUUCUUGAGGAGCGACGGUAGCGAACCACGACUUGACCUUGGCGGCCAAGACAAAGGCAGAAUGCGAGUGAAGGCAGAAACGAGUGUUGCUCCUCCCCUUUCGAAAUUCCUAGGAUGCUAAUUCAGGAUCAAAAGCCUCAUUUCUCAAAAUUAAUAGCUAUGUACUAGUAAAGUUAAUAAAAGACACUGAGCUUCA
This is a long non-coding RNA of Hyaena hyaena (striped hyena), 1016 nucleotides long. RefSeq lists it as uncharacterized. The record is from RefSeq and is a predicted model, not a curated record. The transcript has 5 exons. NCBI's taxonomy places the organism in Eukaryota, Metazoa, Chordata, Mammalia, Carnivora, Hyaenidae.